Molecule: ribosomal RNA, 253 nt
Filed under: uncultured bacterium
Lineage: Bacteria
Description: partial 16S ribosomal RNA
Rfam family: Bacterial small subunit ribosomal RNA
Source: RNAcentral
UACGUAGGGUGCGAGCGUUGUCCGGAAUUAUUGGGCGUAAAGAGCUCGUAGGCGGCUUGUCGCGUCGUCCGUGAAAACCUGCAGCUCAACUGCAGGCUUGCGGUCGAUACGGGCAGGCUAGAGUUCGGUAGGGGAGACUGAAAUUCCUGGUGUAGCGGUGAAAUGCGCAGAUAUCAGGAGGAACACCGGUGGCGAAGGCGGGUCUCUGGGCCGAUACUGACGCUGAGGAGCGAAAGCGUGGGGAGCGAACAGG